Molecule: long non-coding RNA, 948 nt
Filed under: Homo sapiens (human)
Lineage: Eukaryota; Metazoa; Chordata; Mammalia; Primates; Hominidae
Description: HSALNT0380709
Source: RNAcentral
UUGGUGUGGGGGCAGUUUUUAUGUUCUAUAAUACAAAGCAUACUAAAUGGAAUAAAUGGAAAUUUAGAGUCACAGUUAAACAUUCGACUUAUGUCUUCUCUUUUAAGCAUUUUAAACUACCUCUAUUAUAUUGAUUUUUAGAAGAAUUGUUUUCUAAAGAAAACUGCUUCCUGAUGUUGGCGCAGGUGGGCUCUCUGUGAUAUCUGCGGCCAUGGUAGUCCAUUUUUCCUACUAACUUUGUUAAUGUCCUGAGAAAAACUAGAAAUUUGAAUAGGAUAUAAAGAAUAGGAUUUCCCAGAAGAAGAGACAUUUUUAUCCCAGUAAUCCACAAUAAAAUGGGGUGUAGAGAGAUGUAUCCAGAGCUGCACAGCUAGUGGACGUCUGAGCAGGAGCCACAUGCAGAAGAGUCUGACUCCAGGGCCUCAGCGUUGCUGUGUUUAGUCAUUCCUCCCAAUGCCAGUGAUCCCUUAAAUCUGGGUGUUGUCCAUCAUCAUCCCUGCCCGUCUCCGUGCAUCCACAACUGCCACAUCCUGAGAGCUCAGUCCAUCAUAAAUGCAAUUAUAGCCUUUUACCUCCUCCUCACCAGAUACUCUCUACAGGGCAAGUUCAUCAAACUGUGUGCUUAGAAGCUCUGGAGCAGAACUCUCACCCACCAGAAGAUUGCCUCAAGAGAUAAAAGAUGAUUUACAACCCAAAGUAUGCCCACUAGAGGUUUUGGCCAUUUUUACAAUGUAUUCCUGCCCAUGAAGAUGCCAACUUGACUGCCCAAUACAUAAAGCACCAAAGCAAGUAUGCGGACCCCCCCACACCUCCUCACUUCUGCUCCUGUGUAGACCCCCAUCUUUAAAAGCACUUACUUUCUCCUGCAAAAGCAAAUCAGACCCUUACAGCAGGAAGGCUUUUCUUCUUCUCCUAAACUAGCUUUGGAAUAAAAAGUUAUUUUCUUUA